RNAcentral lists this ribosomal RNA (1293 nucleotides) under Triticum aestivum (bread wheat). RNAcentral describes it as "partial small subunit ribosomal RNA". Lineage: Eukaryota; Viridiplantae; Streptophyta; Magnoliopsida; Poales; Poaceae. The record is from RNAcentral.
AUGGCGAGCGGGGUGGAUCGCAUCAGCGCCCUCCCGGAUGACGUCCUCCACCAAGUGCUCCACUUCCUGCCGUCUCAAGAGGUGGUGCGGACAUGCGUGCUCGCCCGGCGCUGGCUCGGCGUCUGGAGGUUCAUGCCCGCCUUCCGCUUCAACGGCGCCAAGGGGUGGGGCAGCGCCGACAGGUUCGCCCAGUUCGUGGACCACCUCCUUCACCUCAGAUUCGGGGGCGACGGCGGCAGAUGCGCGCCUCUGGAUUCCUGCGAUUUCGACUUCGAUUCCGACGGGUUCAUGCGAUUGCCCGCUAACGAGCAGCAUGCGAGCAACUGGAUCUGGAAAGUCGUGCCCAAUGUACGGAUGCUCCGGCUUCGCGUGGUCGAGUUUGGGCAGGAACCCUCGCCACUAUCUGAUCUGCAUCUCGUUUCCCAGCACCUCACCAAGUUAGAGCUUGUUGGUGUCGGUGUGAAAGACAGCGUUGUUGAUUUUUCAGGCUGUCCGGCACUGGUGGAGCUGAGUAUGGAUGUUUGUGAUGUUUUUGUCAAACAGCUGUUGUCUCCAUCCUUGAAGCAUCUGCGCAUUACCCGCUGUUAUACCUCUGAGUACACUCGCAUCCUUAUUUCUGUACCCAGUCUCGUUUCGCUUGAGUUGAUCGAAUGCCGCCAAGGAAGGGUUCCAUUGCUUGAAAGCUUGCCGCGGUUAGCGAGAGCUGUUGUUGUGCUUACCGAUGAUUGUAGUGAUCGAUGCUCGAAGGGUCGAUUUGAUAAUUGUGGUGCUGAUAUCUGUGAAGAUUGUUGGUGGUAUUAUGGGGAUCCUGAAUAUGGGCCUAUAUAUGACCGCAAUAACAGCAUCUUCCUCAAAGGUUUAUCUGAAGCUACGGACUUGGAGUUGUCGUCUGAUUCUGAGUUGAUUCUUUUCGAUAGGGAUUUGAAGUGGUGCCCUACAUUUACCAAGUUGAAGACUUUGUUACUCAAUGAUCGGUGUUUGGCUGCCGACCACAAUGCACUGAUUUGUUUUCUCCAACACUCGCCGAUUUUGGAAAGGCUUACUCUUCAACUUUUUAAGGGACCUUCAUAUGUGACUGAAACAGAAGGAAUGUACAAACCAUUGGGACUGUCAGUUGCAUCCAACUAUCUUAAGACCGUUGAAAUCAGAUGUGCAAAUGUUGAUAGUAAGGUUCACAGACUUUUGAAGAUACUGACUACCUACGGUAUACGCCUUGAGCAAAUUAGGGUCCAACAAACUAGCAAAAUUUCUGCACCUGGAUGUUUCCAUUUUGUUUGCAGUAGUUUCAGCUAA